AUUUAAGUAGUUUAAUUAAAAUAUUAAUUUGUGGAAUUAAUGAUAUAGUUAUUUAAUUAUCUUAGAUU
Molecule: transfer RNA, 68 nt
Filed under: Crematogaster teranishii
Lineage: Eukaryota; Metazoa; Arthropoda; Insecta; Hymenoptera; Formicidae
Description: tRNA-His
Source: RNAcentral